GACGAACGCUGGCGGCGUGCUUAACACAUGCAAGUCGAACGGAAAGGCCCUGCUUUUGUGGGGUGCUCGAGUGGCGAACGGGUGAGUAACACGUGAGUAACCUGCCCUUGACUUUGGGAUAACUUCAGGAAACUGGGGCUAAUACCGGAUAGGAGCUCCUGCUGCAUGGUGGGGGUUGGAAAGUUUCGGCGGUUGGGGAUGGACUCGCGGCUUAUCAGCUUGUUGGUGGGGUAGUGGCUUACCAAGGCUUUGACGGGUAGCCGGCCUGAGAGGGUGACCGGCCACAUUGGGACUGAGAUACGGCCCAGACUCCUACGGGAGGCAGCAGUGGGGAAUAUUGCACAAUGGGCGGAAGCCUGAUGCAGCAACGCCGCGUGCGGGAUGACGGCCUUCGGGUUGUAAACCGCUUUCGCCUGUGACGAAGCGUGAGUGACGGUAAUGGGUAAAGAAGCACCGGCUAACUACGUGCCAGCAGCCGCGGUGAUACGUAGGGUGCGAGCGUUGUCCGGAUUUAUUGGGCGUAAAGGGCUCGUAGGUGGUUGAUCGCGUCGGAAGUGUAAUCUUGGGGCUUAACCCUGAGCGUGCUUUCGAUACGGGUUGACUUGAGGAAGGUAGGGGAGAAUGGAAUUCCUGGUGGAGCGGUGGAAUGCGCAGAUAUCAGGAGGAACACCAGUGGCGAAGGCGGUUCUCUGGGCCUUUCCUGACGCUGAGGAGCGAAAGCGUGGGGAGCGAACAGGCUUAGAUACCCUGGUAGUCCACGCUGUAAACGGUGGGUACUAGGUGUGGGGUCCAUUCCACGGGUUCCGUGCCGUAGCUAACGCUUUAAGUACCCCGCCUGGGGAGUACGGCCGCAAGGCUAAAACUCAAAGGAAUUGACGGGGCCCCGCACAAGCGGCGGAGCAUGCGGAUUAAUUCGAUGCAACGCGUAGAACCUUACCUGGGUUUGACAUGGAUCGGGAGUGCUCAGAGAUGGGUGUGCCUCUUUUGGGGUCGGUUCACAGGUGGUGCAUGGCUGUCGUCAGCUCGUGUCGUGAAAUGUUGGGUUAAGUCCCGCAACGAGCGCAACCCUUGUUCACUGUUGCCAGCACGUUAUGGUGGGGACUCAGUGGAGACCGCCGGGGUCAACUCGGAGGAAGGUGGGGAUGACGUCAAGUCAUCAUGCCCCUUAUGUCCAGGGCUUCACGCAUGCUACAAUGGCUGGUACAGAGAGUGGCGAGCCUGUGAGGGUGAGCGAAUCUCGGAAAGCCGGUCUCAGUUCGGAUUGGGGUCUGCAACUCGACCUCAUGAAGUCGGAGUCGCUAGUAAUCGCAGAUCAGCAACGCUGCGGUGAAUACGUUCCCGGG
Molecule: ribosomal RNA, 1343 nt
Filed under: uncultured bacterium
Lineage: Bacteria
Description: 16S ribosomal RNA
Rfam family: Bacterial small subunit ribosomal RNA
Source: RNAcentral